Molecule: long non-coding RNA, 864 nt
Filed under: Oncorhynchus kisutch (coho salmon)
Lineage: Eukaryota; Metazoa; Chordata; Actinopteri; Salmoniformes; Salmonidae
Description: lncRNA (ENSOKIG00005046352.1)
Source: RNAcentral
UAGCUGUACUCUUUAGUCACUAUAAUGCUUUCUUCACCAAUAUUUUGUCCUUUUCUCCGACAGACAUAAAAUAAUCAAUACUCCUUAAACAGUCAUAAUAGAGAGCAGUCCUGAUGAUGAUCUGGUGAACCUGGAGGUUUUAGAUGAGGAGACCCUCAUCAAACACCUCUCGAAGAGAUAUUACGAGCUUCAGAUAUACACCCUUAUUGCUCUCAAUCCCUUUCAAACUCUAAGCAUCUACUCGGAACAGGUUAGUUUAUGACAGCAGUGUCAUUGUGUGUCAUAAUUCCUGUGAAUACCUCUGUAAAGACAGAACGGUAUUGAUAUUGUAAUAUGGUGUGUUUGCUCACAGUUCUCUAAGGUGGAGCGAGCCGACAGUCCUCCACACAUCUUUGCUGCUGCUGAUGCAGCAUACCAGGGCAUGAUGACCUUCUGCAAAGACCAGGCACCUUUGGAGAGAGUGGAGCUGGGAAGACAGUGCCCAUCUGAUUGUCCAGCAUCUCACCUGCAUGGGAAAGGGAGUUGUGUAAAAACAAUUGCUUUACUGUGAUCCCAGGCAAACCAUCGGGACUCUGCGAUAGAAGAUCCUCCAGCUUCGGCCUUGCUCUGCAUCGGCCCUGAGGUGCUCAUGGAGGCCCUGGCGUCCCGCUGUGUGGUAACCCGGGGAGACACCUUCAUCCACACCAGUACUGUAGACAAAGCCGGGACGCCAUGUCCAAGGCUCUGUACGGACACCUCUUCAGCUGGAUAGUCAACCGCAUCAAUGCCCUACUGCAGCCUGAUAUGAAUAACUAGUAAGUGUAAGGCACUGGUUCUCGCUCUCUGGUCCCUCUUGUCUUUGGUUGUUGCACUCUGCUUCAGAUG